This 504-nucleotide ribosomal RNA is filed under the name uncultured bacterium. RNAcentral's name for it is "partial 16S ribosomal RNA". It matches the Rfam family "Bacterial small subunit ribosomal RNA", at positions 29 to 523 of the family's 1533-position model. The record is from RNAcentral.
AUUGAACGCUGGCGGCAGGCCUAACACAUGCAAGUCGAACGGUAGCACAGAGAGCUUGCUCUCGGGUGACGAGUGGCGGACGGGUAAGUAACGGCCGGGUAACUGGCCGAGGGCGGGGGAGAACUAAUGGAAACGCUAGCUAAUCACGCGUAAGGUCGCAAGACCAAAGUGGGGGACAGGCGGGCCUCACUCCAUCGGAUGUGUCUCGCUGGGAUUAGCUAGUAGGUGGGGUAAUGGCUCACCUAGGCGACGAUCCCUAGCUGGUCUGAGAGGAUGACCAGCCACACUGGAACUGAGACACGGUCCAGACUCCUACGGGAGGCAGCAGUGGGGAAUAUUGCACAAUGGGCGCAAGCCUGAUGCAGCCAUGCCGCGUGUAUGAAGAAGGCCUUCGGGUUGUAAAGUACUUUCAGCGGGGAGGAAAGCGGUGAAGUUAAUAGCUUCACCGAUUGACGUUACCCGCAGAAGAAGCACCGGCUAACUCCGUGCCAGCCGCCGCUGUAA